UUCUUGAUAGCUCAGUUGGAGCGUGGUGCUGAUAACACCAAGGUUGCAGGUUCGAUUCCCGUUUGGGAUA
Molecule: non-coding RNA, 70 nt
Organism: Podarcis lilfordi (Lilford's wall lizard)
Lineage: Eukaryota; Metazoa; Chordata; Lepidosauria; Squamata; Lacertidae
Source: the annotation of a GenBank genome assembly